Molecule: ribosomal RNA, 523 nt
Filed under: uncultured low G+C Gram-positive bacterium
Lineage: Bacteria; Bacillati; Bacillota
Description: bacterial SSU rRNA
Rfam family: Bacterial small subunit ribosomal RNA
Source: RNAcentral
UGCAGUCGAGCGAGAACGCCUCCUUCGGGAGGUUAGUAAAGCGGCGAACGGGUGAGUAACACGUGAGCGAUCUACCCGACGGCGGGGGAUAACCCAGGGAAACCUGGGCUAAUACCGCAUACAGCACCGGCUUGGAAGCCGGAUGUGAAAGCUGGCCUCUCGAAGAAGCUGGCACCAUCGGAUGAGCUCGCGGCCUAUCAGCUAGUUGGUGGGGUAACGGCCUACCAAGGCGAUGACGGGUAGCUGGCGUGAGAGCGUGGCCAGCCACACUGGGACUGAGACACGGCCCAGACUCCUACGGGAGGCAGCAGUGGGGAAUAUUGCGCAAUGGGCGAAAGCCUGACGCAGCGACGCCGCGUGGGGGAGGAAGGCCUCAGGGUCGUAAACCCCUGUCAGGUGGGACGAACCACCGAUCGGUCAAUACCCGGUCGGUCUGACGGUACCACCAGANGAAGCUCCGGCUAACUCCGUGCCAGCAGCCGCGGUAAUACGGAGGGAGCUAGCGUUGUUCGGAAUCACUGGG